UAGUCCACGCCGUAAACGAUGUUCACUCGCUGUUUGGGAUACACACUAAGCGGCCAAGCGAAAGCAUUAAGUGAACCACCUGGGGAGUACGUUGGCAACAAUGAAACUCAAAGGAAUUGACGGGGACCCGCACAAGCGGUGGAACAUGUGGUUUAAUUCGAUGAUACGCGAGGAACCUUACCUGGACUUAAAUGUAGGUUGCAUAGAGUGGAGACAUUCUUUUCUUCGGACUACUUACAAGGUGCUGCAUGGUUGUCGUCAGCUCGUGCCGUGAGGUGUCGGGUUAAGUCCCAUAACGAGCGCAACCCCUAUCGUUAGUUGCCAUCAGGUUAUGCUGGGGACUCUAGCGAAACUGCCCGUGCAAACCGGAGGAAGGUAAGGAUGACGUCAAGUCAGCAUGCCCCUUACGCUCUGGGCUACACACGUGCUACAAUGGUCGUGACAAAGAGUUGCUAGUCUGCGAAGGCAAGCCAAUCUCAUAAACGCGGCCUUAGUUCGGAUUGCG
RNAcentral lists this ribosomal RNA (505 nucleotides) under uncultured bacterium. RNAcentral describes it as "bacterial SSU rRNA". It matches the Rfam family "Bacterial small subunit ribosomal RNA", at positions 791 to 1302 of the family's 1533-position model. The record is from RNAcentral.